GACGAACGCUGGCGGUGUGCUUAACACAUGCAAGUGGUGCGACGAACCAGAGCUUGCUCUGGGGCAAAGCCGCGAACGGGUGAGUAACACGUGGGUAAUCUACCCCGAUGACCGGGACAACCCGAGGAAACUCGGGCUAAAUACCGGAUGUGGUACGGAGACAUAAGUCUCUUUACUAAAGGUAGCUUCGGCUUCCGCAUUGGGAGGGGCCCGCGGCCCAUUAGCUAGUUGGUGGGGUCAAGGCCUACCAAGGCAACGAUGGGUAGCUGGUCUGAGAGGACGAUCAGCCACACUGGGGCUGAGACACGGCCCAGACUCCUACGGGAGGCAGCAGUGGGGAAUCUUGCGCAAUGCGCGAAAGCGUGACGCAGCAACACCGCGUGAGGGAA
RNAcentral lists this ribosomal RNA (389 nucleotides) under uncultured bacterium. RNAcentral describes it as "bacterial SSU rRNA". It matches the Rfam family "Bacterial small subunit ribosomal RNA", at positions 28 to 409 of the family's 1533-position model. The record is from RNAcentral.